GUAGGUGGCAAGCGUUGUCCGGAAUUAUUGGGCGUAAAGCGCGCGCAGGCGGUUCUUUAAGUCUGAUGUGAAAGCCCACGGCUCAACCGUGGAGGGUCAUUGGAAACUGGAGAACUUGAGUACAGAAGAGGAAAGCGGAAUUCCGCGUGUAGCGGUGAAAUGCGUAGAGAUGUGGAGGAACACCAGUGGCGAAGGCGGCUUUCUGGUCUGUAACUGACGCUGAGGCGCGAAAGCGUGGGGAGCAAACAGGAUUAGAUACCCUGGUAGUCCACGCCGUAAACGAUGAGUGCUAAGUGUUAGGGGGGUUUUCCGCCCCCCUUAGUGCUGCAGCUAACGCAUUAAGCACUCCGCCUGGGAGUACGGCCGCAAGGCUG
Molecule: ribosomal RNA, 374 nt
Filed under: uncultured organism
Description: partial 16S ribosomal RNA
Rfam family: Bacterial small subunit ribosomal RNA
Source: RNAcentral